GGGAGUAUAGCUCAGUGGUACAGUGCAUGCUUAGCAUUCAUGAGGUCCUGGGUUCAAUCCCCAGUACCCCCA
RNAcentral lists this transfer RNA (72 nucleotides) under Camelus bactrianus (Bactrian camel). It matches the Rfam family "tRNA". Rfam says of the family: Transfer RNA (tRNA) molecules are approximately 80 nucleotides in length. Their secondary structure includes four short double-helical elements and three loops (D, anti-codon, and T loops). RNAcentral also lists the same sequence under 2 other names. The record is from Rfam by way of RNAcentral. Lineage: Eukaryota; Metazoa; Chordata; Mammalia; Artiodactyla; Camelidae.